GCCCUCGUGGCUCAAUUGGUAGAGCGCACGACUUUUAAUCGUGUGGUUGUGGGUUCGAGCCCCAUCGGGGGUG
RNAcentral lists this transfer RNA (73 nucleotides) under Opitutaceae bacterium. Its description in RNAcentral is "tRNA-Lys". It matches the Rfam family "tRNA". Rfam says of the family: Transfer RNA (tRNA) molecules are approximately 80 nucleotides in length. Their secondary structure includes four short double-helical elements and three loops (D, anti-codon, and T loops). Lineage: Bacteria; Pseudomonadati; Verrucomicrobiota; Opitutia; Opitutales; Opitutaceae. The record is from RNAcentral.